This 139-nucleotide non-coding RNA is filed under the name Candidatus Zhuqueibacterota. RNAcentral describes it as "Candidate division FMN sequence". It matches the Rfam family "FMN riboswitch aptamer (RFN element)". Rfam says of the family: The RFN element is a highly conserved domain that is found frequently in the 5'-untranslated regions of prokaryotic mRNAs that encode for flavin mononucleotide (FMN) biosynthesis and transport proteins. This element is a metabolite-dependent riboswitch that directly binds FMN in the absence of proteins. The record is from RNAcentral. Lineage: Bacteria; Pseudomonadati.
CACGAUCUUUGGGGCAAGGUGACCCCGGUUUUGCCGGGGGAUUCCUGACCGGCGGUGAAAGCCCGCGAGUCCCGGUAAACGGGACAGAACCGGUGAAAUUCCGGUGCCGACGGUACAGUCCGGAUGGGAAAAGAUCGCC